UAACUCAGCGAAAGCUGGGCUAAUACCGCAUAUGCUCUACGGAGGAAAGGGGGGGACCCGCAAGGGCCUCCCGCUAUGGGAGCGGCCGAUGUCCGAUUAGCUUGUUGGUGAGGUAAAGGCUUACCAAGGCGACGAUCGGUAGCUGGUCUGAGAGGAUGAUCAGCCACACUGGGACUGAGACACGGCCCAGACUCCUACGGGAGGCAGCAGUGGGGAAUUUUGGACAAUGGGGGCAACCCUGAUCCAGCCAUGCCGCGUGCGGGAAGAAGGCCUUCGGGUUGUAAACCGCUUUUGUCCGGAAAGAAAAGGCAUCCCCUAAUACGGGGUGUCCUUGACGGUACCGGAAGAAUAAGCACCGGCUAACUACGUGCCAGCAGCCGCGGUAAUACGUAGGGUGCGAGCGUUAAUCGGAAUUACUGGGCGUAAAGCGUGCGCAGGCGGUUCGCUAAGUCUGAUGUGAAAGCCCCGGGCUCAACCUGGGAACUGCAUUGGAAACUGGC
RNAcentral lists this ribosomal RNA (500 nucleotides) under uncultured bacterium. Its description in RNAcentral is "bacterial SSU rRNA". It matches the Rfam family "Bacterial small subunit ribosomal RNA", at positions 144 to 637 of the family's 1533-position model. The record is from RNAcentral.